CCUACGGGGGGCAGCAGUGAGGAAUAUUGGUCAAUGGCCGAGAGGCUGAACCAGCCAAGUCGCGUGAGGGAAGACGGCCCUACGGGUUGUAAACCUCUUUUGUCGGGGAGCAAAGCGAACCACGUGUGGUUCAUUGAGAGUACCCGAAGAAAAAGCAUCGGCUAACACCGUGCCAGCAGCCGCGGUAAUACGGGGGAUGCGAGCGUUAUCCGGAUUGAUUGGGGUAAAGGGGUGCGCAGGCGGAGGUGCAAGUCAGCGGUCAAAUUGCGGGGCUCAACCCCGUACUGCCGUUGAAACCACAUCCCUUGAGUGCGCGAGAAGUAUGCGGAAUGCGUGGUGUAGCGGUGAAAUGCAUAGAUAUCACGCAGAACUCCGAUUGCGAAGGCAGCAUACCGGCGCGCAACUGACGCUCAUGCACGAAAGCGUGGGUAUCGAACAGGAUUAGAUACCCCAGUAGUC
RNAcentral lists this ribosomal RNA (459 nucleotides) under uncultured bacterium. RNAcentral's name for it is "partial 16S ribosomal RNA". It matches the Rfam family "Bacterial small subunit ribosomal RNA", at positions 338 to 795 of the family's 1533-position model. The record is from RNAcentral.